AGGGUGAUGGUGAAAUGGCAGCCACGGAAGCCUUAAAGCCUUCUGUCGCAAGACGUGCGGGUUCAAGUCCCGCUCACCCUA
RNAcentral lists this transfer RNA (81 nucleotides) under Anaerolineae bacterium. RNAcentral's name for it is "tRNA-Leu". It matches the Rfam family "tRNA". Rfam says of the family: Transfer RNA (tRNA) molecules are approximately 80 nucleotides in length. Their secondary structure includes four short double-helical elements and three loops (D, anti-codon, and T loops). The record is from RNAcentral. Lineage: Bacteria; Bacillati; Chloroflexota; Anaerolineae.